GCUAAUUUGCUAUUGAAUUCUAUAAAACUUCUCACUCCAAAAGAAGCUUAACAUAUUCCUCACGGGGACAAAUGUUAAAUUUACAGACAAAUCUAUCUAAUAUUUGUAUAUAUGGCUAAACUCUAGCGUCGAAAUUUUUAGUUUCUGAUAGAAUCUCCAUCGGAAUCCAGAAUCUCAAAACUGAAAUUCUUAGAAGGGUAAAAUAGGGUUUUUAUAAAAUGAAUUUUAAGUUUUUCUUGAUGUGUUUUAAUAAAUAAACAAAAAAGAGUUUUAUAAAGGUUUUAAGGUUCGGCCGCCGAACCUUCAAGUUCGAUCGCCGAAGGUGGCUUCUCCAGCCACCUAACUCUUUCUCCAUUUCCGGGCAGAGAUUGAGUUGUAUUUCAAAGUUCUAGCUUUUGGGACCUUCGGAGCUCAUCUCUCCAUCUCCUAAACCCUCCCUUGCUUGCUGUCAUUUUCGUGUUCUUCAAGAGCCCUCGAAUAUGUUAUGAUGGAUACGGAAGUCCAAGUCGAGACCCAUUCUACGCCAUUGGCAAUAUGUAAGAGAAAGUUCAGAUCGAGACCCAUUCUACGCUCCUGGCAAUAUGUAAGAGAAAGUUCAGAUCGAGACCCAUUCUACGCUCCUGGCACUAUGGAUAUAUUAUGUUAUGUUUAUGGAUAUAUUAUGUUUAAGAGGAAGUCUUGAAGAGCACUAAUCGUGGGCUAACACUAUUGGAAUCUGGAAAGCGUUAUUGGUGACAAGUCCAUUUUGAUGUGAAUUGUUGUGUUGUGACGCAUU
Long non-coding RNA from Manihot esculenta (cassava), 775 nucleotides. RefSeq lists it as uncharacterized. NCBI's taxonomy places the organism in Eukaryota, Viridiplantae, Streptophyta, Magnoliopsida, Malpighiales, Euphorbiaceae. The record is from RefSeq and is a predicted model, not a curated record. The transcript is spliced from 3 exons.